RNAcentral lists this long non-coding RNA (806 nucleotides) under Equus asinus (donkey). RNAcentral describes it as "lncRNA (ENSEASG00005024466.1)". Lineage: Eukaryota; Metazoa; Chordata; Mammalia; Perissodactyla; Equidae. The record is from RNAcentral.
GGCAGCAGAACUGUUGCAUGCCAUCCCGCGUGUGUCCCUUCCUGCUGUGGCUGCCGCUCCCACCUCUCCCAGCAAUUCCUCCCUCCACUGGCCCAGGUGGCCUGUGCGGCCCACGUGAGGUGGCCAUGAAGACCAUGCUGCUCCCCAUCCUGGCUCUUUGGGUGGGCUGCUGCCCCAGAGGGGCCCUGGCCAAGCAGGGGCCGAGCCUGAGAGAGCCCAUGGCUGCGCCAACACCCGGGAGCUUGCAUACCCUGCGGCCACCACCGCCCAGCCAGCCUAGGACCCCCGAUGGUCAGGUGCGACCAAUUCCCAGGAACGGCGACCCGGACAGGCCUGAGGACGGAGCCCACGGAGACCCCGCCCAGCCCCCAGCCCCUGGCUGGAAGGCCCCUGCCAGACCAGGGCUGGCCCAGAGGAAGGAGCUGCCCCCAGCAGCCUGGGAGCAGGAACAGGGUCAUAACAAGGAGCCCAGCACCGAGUGGGCCCAGCCCCAGGCCACAGCGGCAGCAGGGGCUGAGGCAGCAAAGCCCCAGGCCGCCAAACUCAGGCCCUUGCAGGCCAGCAGGGCCCCCCGAGCCCAAGAUGGGGCAGUGGCUGGUGAGAAGGGCCAGGGCAGGAAGGCGAGAGUCCGCGAAGCCAGGAGCAGAGGCCUGAAGCUCGGGAGGCCCCCCAAAGGGUCCUCCCACCAACCUGGCCGAGGGGGCUGGCGUCAAAAGAAAGACCGCAGCCAAGGCCAUGGUGGCAGCAGCAUCCUGAGGACCACAGGCCAUGGGGAGAAAAGGCCCGGAAGCAGUCAAGGACAAGGG